AGGUUACUGCUAUCGGUGUUCGCCUAAGCCAUGCGAGUCAUAUGUAGCAAUACAUGGCGUACUGCUCAGUAACACGUGGAUAACCUGCCCUUGGUUCCGGCAUAACCCCGGGAAACUGGGGAAUAAUUCCGGAUAACGCAUAUAUGCUGGAAUGCUUUCUGCGUAAAAUGGAUUCGUCUGCCCAAGGAUGGGUCUGCGGCCUAUCAGGUAGUAGUGGGUGUAAUGUACCUACUAGCCUACGACGGGUACGGGUUGUGAGAGCAAGAGCCCGGAGAUGGAUUCUGAGACAUGAAUCCAGGCCCUACGGGGCGCAGCAGGCGCGAAAACUUUACAAUGCGGGAAACCGUGAUAAGGGGACACCGAGUGCCAGCAUCCUAUGCUGGCUGUCCGGGUGUGUAAAAUACACCUGUCAGCAAGGGCCGGGCAAGACCGGUGCCAGCCGCCGCGGUAACACCGGCGGCCCGAGUGGUGAUCGUGAUUAUUGGGUCUAAAGGGUCCGUAGCCGGUUUGGUCAGUCCUCCGGGAAAUCUGACAGCUCAACUGUUAGGCUUUCGGAGGAUACUGCCAGACUUGGAACCGGGAGAGGUAAGAGGUACUACAGGGGUAGGAGUGAAAUCUUGUAAUCCCUGUGGGACCACCUGUGGCGAAGGCGUCUUACCAGAACGGGUUCGACGGUGAGGGACGAAAGCUGGGGGCACGAACCGGAUUAGAUACCCGGGUUAGUCCCGGCCGUAAACGAUGCUCGCUAGGUGUCAGGCGUGGCGCGACCGUGUCUGGUGCCGCAGGGAAGCCGUGAAGCGAGCCACCUGGGAAAGUACGGCCGCAAGGCUAAAACUUAA
RNAcentral lists this ribosomal RNA (839 nucleotides) under uncultured archaeon. Its description in RNAcentral is "bacterial SSU rRNA". It matches the Rfam family "Archaeal small subunit ribosomal RNA", at positions 21 to 859 of the family's 1478-position model. The record is from RNAcentral.